AGAGUUUGAUCAUGGCUCAGAUUGAACGCUGGCGGCAGGCCUAACACAUGCAAGUCGAGCGGUAGCACAGAGAGCUUGCUCUCGGGUGACGAGCGGCGGACGGGUGAGUAAUGUCUGGGAAACUGCCUGAUGGAGGGGGAUAACUACUGGAAACGGUAGCUAAUACCGCAUAACGUCGCAAGACCAAAGUGGGGGACCUUCGGGCCUCAUGCCAUCAGAUGUGCCCAGAUGGGAUUAGCUAGUAGGUGGGGUAAUGGCUCACCUAGGCGACGAUCCCUAGCUGGUCUGAGAGGAUGACCAGCCACACUGGAACUGAGACACGGUCCAGACUCCUACGGGAGGCAGCAGUGGGGAAUAUUGCACAAUGGGCGCAAGCCUGAUGCAGCCAUGCCGCGUGUAUGAAGAAGGCCUUCGGGUUGUAAAGUACUUUCAGCGAGGAGGAAGGCAUUAAGGUUAAUAACCUUGGUGAUUGACGUUACUCGCAGAAGAAGCACCGGCUAACUCCGUGCCAGCAGCCGCGGUAAUACGGAGGGUGCAAGCGUUAAUCGGAAUUACUGGGCGUAAAGCGCACGCAGGCGGUCUGUCAAGUCGGAUGUGAAAUCCCCGGGCUCAACCUGGGAACUGCAUUCGAAACUGGCAGGCUAGAGUCUUGUAGAGGGGGGUAGAAUUCCAGGUGUAGCGGUGAAAUGCGUAGAGAUCUGGAGGAAUACCGGUGGCGAAGGCGGCCCCCUGGACAAAGACUGACGCUCAGGUGCGAAAGCGUGGGGAGCAAACAGGAUUAGAUACCCUGGUAGUCCACGCCGUAAACGAUGUCGACUUGGAGGUUGUGCCCUUGAGGCGUGGCUUCCGGAGCUAACGCGUUAAGUCGACCGCCUGGGGAGUACGGCCGCAAGGUUAAAACUCAAAUGAAUUGACGGGGGCCCGCACAAGCGGUGGAGCAUGUGGUUUAAUUCGAUGCAACGCGAAGAACCUUACCUACUCUUGACAUCCAGAGAACUUAGCAGAGAUGCUUUGGUGCCUUCGGGAACUCUGAGACAGGUGCUGCAUGGCUGUCGUCAGCUCGUGUUGUGAAAUGUUGGGUUAAGUCCCGCAACGAGCGCAACCCUUAUCCUUUGUUGCCAGCGGUCCGGCCGGGAACUCAAAGGAGACUGCCAGUGAUAAACUGGAGGAAGGUGGGGAUGACGUCAAGUCAUCAUGGCCCUUACGAGUAGGGCUACACACGUGCUACAAUGGCAUAUACAAAGAGAAGCGACCUCGCGAGAGCAAGCGGACCUCAUAAAGUAUGUCGUAGUCCGGAUUGGAGUCUGCAACUCGACUCCAUGAAGUCGGAAUCGCUAGUAAUCGUAGAUCAGAAUGCUACGGUGAAUACGUUCCCGGGCCUUGUACACACCGCCCGUCACACCAUGGGAGUGGGUUGCAAAAGAAGUAGGUAGCUUAACCUUCGGGAGGGCGCUUACCACUUUGUGAUUCAUGACUGGGGUGAAGUCGUAACAAGGUAACCGUAGGGGAACCUGCGGUUG
Molecule: ribosomal RNA, 1520 nt
Filed under: Klebsiella aerogenes
Lineage: Bacteria; Pseudomonadati; Pseudomonadota; Gammaproteobacteria; Enterobacterales; Enterobacteriaceae
Description: bacterial SSU rRNA
Rfam family: Bacterial small subunit ribosomal RNA
Source: RNAcentral